AGGACGAACGCUGGCGGCGUGCUUAACACAUGCAAGUCGAGCGGAAAGGCCCUUCGGGGUACUCGAGCGGCGAACGGGUGAGUAACACGUGAGUAAUCUGCCCUUAGCUCUGGGAUAGCUCCGGGAAACCGGGAUUAAUACCAGAUACGACCACUUUAGACAUCUGCCGUGGUGGAAAGAAUUUCGGCUAAGGAUGAGCUCGCGGCCUAUCAGCUUGUUGGUGGGGUAACGGCCUACCAAGGCGACGACGGGUAGCCGGCCUGAGAGGGCGACCGGCCACGACCUGGGACUGAGACACGGCCCAGACUCCUACGGGAGGCAGCAGUGGGGAAUAUUGCGCAAUGGGCGAAAGCCUGACGCAGCGACGCCGCGUGGGGGAUGAAGGCCUUCGGGUUGUAAACCCCUUUCAGCAGGGACGAAGCGAAAGUGACGGUACCUGCAGAAGAAGCGCCGGCUAACUACGUGCCAGCAGCCGC
RNAcentral lists this ribosomal RNA (476 nucleotides) under uncultured bacterium. RNAcentral's name for it is "SSU rRNA". It matches the Rfam family "Bacterial small subunit ribosomal RNA", at positions 26 to 518 of the family's 1533-position model. The record is from RNAcentral.